Mustela erminea (ermine) is the source of this 1020-nucleotide long non-coding RNA. RefSeq lists it as uncharacterized. Lineage: Eukaryota; Metazoa; Chordata; Mammalia; Carnivora; Mustelidae. The record is from RefSeq and is a predicted model, not a curated record. The transcript is spliced from 3 exons.
AUAACAUAUUACCUCUUUCUAUUUUAUAGAUACAUGGUUUGGUAGACUACAGGUGGUCACAAAUUCUUUGCCCCUCUUCUACUUAAAGAGAUGGAAUCUAUUUCCCUCCCCUUGUAUCUGGCCUGCCCUUGUAACUUAUUUUGUCAAUAGAAUGAGGUAGAAGUGUAUGACUUCCUGAGGCUGGGCCUUACGCAAUCUUCAGCUUUACGCCCUGGGAUUACGCCCUUCUGGAAGCUAGCCAUCACCCUGGAAGAACACCAAGCUGGGAGAAGAGGCCACAUAGAUGAGAGUUUAUGCCAAUGCACUAUGGUCCACAAUCCCCGCUGAUUUUCCGCCCAAUGCUGUACCAACUGCCAGCCCUGUGACUGAGCCAUCUUGGACACUCCAAUAUAAUGCUGCAGUUAAUCAUAAGGUGGCUUUCUGUUGUAUUUCACAAUCUAUUUACAAGACUUGCUUAAAGCCCUUGUAUUCCUGAGGGACAGGAAAUUUGGUCUCUUCAUGAUUGUAAUCCUGAAAACCUAGCGUCAUAGCUCCUACAUAGGAGACUCAAAUUGAUAACAAUUUGAGAGAAACUGGUUCUGCAUGGAAUUCCACAGAUAAAACCACUCUUUUCUCUUUUCUGACAUCAUCUGGGAGGAUUUUGUUGAGAAAGAACAAACAAGCUUUAUUUUGAACACCCACCCAUGCUGGAAACACGAGGACGUAAGUCUGGGUGACAUGGGAUACUUCUGAGUCUCUCUCUUCUCUAGCGUCAUUUACUCAUUCACCAGGAGUGACUGCUAUUUCUUCUAAUACUAAUCAAUUAAUAUUACAAAUACCAAACACUUAUUUAUCAUCCUGCACACACACACAUCUACCAGAGGUCUGGAAUGUUGGUGGGUGGGUAGAUACUUUAACCUUAUCUAACCUCUACACAAUAAUUAAUUUUAAUAGCUUUUCUCACUGGUUACAUGAUCUCCUAACUUCUCGGUAGUGGUAUAGUGGUAUAACUCUGUAGAGAAACUGAUUAAGAAAAGAAAA